CCGAUUUAACAGACUUGUGACCUAAAGGGUAAUCCCAAUGGUCAUUAUAAAUUUCAUUGUGUGGAACAGAGAAAAGGAGAAUGUCAUAAUACAUACAAAAAGCGCUAAAAUAAAAGCCUAGAAAGACAGCAAGCAUGGUCUUAAAAUUCAUAAUAAUUCAAAAUAUUAGGACUAUUUAACAAAAUUUAUAGAAGUUAACAAUCUUAGCAGUAAUAAAAUGUCUGGAAUUUGCUCACUAUUUAGGUUGUAAGGGCUACUGCAGAAACCGAUUGCAAGGACAGGGAAAUGGCUAACUUAACCAACGCUCAAGAAAAUGACAUAGAGGUUCAGUUUCUUCUGUGUGACAUCAGAUUUUCCAUUAGAGUUUGGGAUUAGUGAAAUCUUGUUUAGAGGGAGGGCCUCCUCAAAUUCAAAUAUUCGAUUGCCAAUGGAUGCUAAUUGUCUAAUUAACGUAUUUGGUAUGCCCAUCCUCCCAGCCAUUUUGAGCCAGCUCUCGUGAGAUGGUUUCAGUAUAACUAUUCAAGAGAGAGAGAAACAAAAACAGAGCAGAAACAGAGGAACCAAGGGAGGAAACAGAAACAGAAACAGAAAGGACCAGAAACAACGUAGGAUAAAGGUUUGCGGCACAUGCAUUCCAGAGAUGGAAACAUUGGUGGCCAGCAACUCUGUGAGUGGUGGUCUAGCAAGAUAUGGUGACUAUCGGCAACAACUCAAGCAUGCCUUUGACAACAUGAUAUGCAGCUACAUGCUCAAAUUAAUAUGCCACCAAUUGCAAAAAUACAAAGGCAUAGAAAUUAUAUACGGUAGAAUAUUCCCGGCUGAUUUCUUUGCACCAUUUUACAUGAUCCUUAAACCAAAAAAAGACUUUCUAGAAUUCUUACUAAAAAGUGCAAACCAAUUAACCAGAAAAGAUGAGUUUAAGGCAAUGGCAUUUUUAAUUCAAAUCCACAAUGAAUGAGACAGGAAAGGAAAUCCAUCCUUAUGAUUCAGCAAAGCUCAACAAGACCAUAAUAACAACUAUUACUCUUGUAACUACUAAACCAAGGCAUUCAGUUCUUCUCACAACCUCAGUCAGCCAAGUUUGCCUUUCUUUCUUUCUCCUUCCCUCUAGGCUGACAACAUAAAAAUGACACCUCAAUAGUGAAUUUAUUGAUCGCUAUUGUUCAUGCCUAAACCAUUUUAGAUGACUUCCCCUCAAGGAAACUUCCCACAUAUAAAGUUGGCAACUCUUAAUUGAUUAGACAAAAUCCAAUCAAAUGAACACUAAUUACAUUUCUGCCCAAAUUUAUUUUCUAAUCAAAGUUUUAUUGAAACGCCAUUGGACAAGUCUUUUAUACCAUGACACAACUACCAACGUUGAUUCUCAACACUUCCAAAUGUAGGACAAUCUGCAGCAUACAAGGAAAUCAAACAAGAAGCUUUUGUUUAUGCAAUGUGCAUUGGAAGUUUUUAAGUACAUUUGAACAAUCUGGGAGGACCUUUGCUUCAGAAAAUAGAGCAUGCUUACUCUCAUCAUUGCUUUGUAUAAGACUGAAGCCCAGUUAUGAUCAGAAACAUACUAGCAUAGCAGUAAACUUCCAGCAUAUGGUUUAACCAACGAUAAUGCCAUCUGAAAUGGCACAUUUGAUACCUUAUUUACAUUUAGGUGCAGAGCUGCACACGCUAUAACUAAAUCUAGUAAGAAGUGCAGAAAUUAAAGGAGUUCAAAU
This 1709-nucleotide unclassified non-coding RNA is filed under the name Hevea brasiliensis (rubber tree). Lineage: Eukaryota; Viridiplantae; Streptophyta; Magnoliopsida; Malpighiales; Euphorbiaceae. The record is from RNAcentral.